Molecule: ribosomal RNA, 248 nt
Filed under: uncultured bacterium
Lineage: Bacteria
Description: partial 16S ribosomal RNA
Rfam family: Bacterial small subunit ribosomal RNA
Source: RNAcentral
AGCAAUCUGCCUUUUUUUUUUGGAGGUAGGGGAAAGUAACGGUUAGGAAACAGCCGCUAAUACCGCAUGAUGCGUCUGGGAGGCAUCUCUCUGGACGCCAAAGAUUUAUCGCUCUGAGAUGAGCUCGCGUCUGAUUAGCUUGUUGGCGGGGUAAAGGCCCACCAAGGCGACGAUCAGUAGCCGGACUGAGAGGUUGGCCGGCCACAUUGGGACUGAGACACGGCCCAGACUCCUACGGAAGGCAGCAG